RNAcentral lists this long non-coding RNA (749 nucleotides) under Trifolium pratense (red clover). RNAcentral's name for it is "long non-coding RNA (TPRA_LNC009218)". Lineage: Eukaryota; Viridiplantae; Streptophyta; Magnoliopsida; Fabales; Fabaceae. The record is from RNAcentral.
AAAUAAUAAAAUACUUAACUAAUAUUAUAAAAUAAAUACUAUAUUUUUCAGUGUUAUCAAACUCCCCUAAACUUGAACCAUUGCUUGUCCUCAAGCAAAAAGAUAUAUCAUUUAGUGAUAGAGAAAACAAAACAAAAGACAUCCUAAAGUCACAUAUUUAAUCUCAACCAAAUUAAACAAGUUAGUUUAUUUAUCCUACUAAAAAUAUCAUGAAAACACAAAUCAAAUAUGAUCAUGAAUUUCUUCCUUAUAUAGACCGUUCCGAACUAUUUUGCCAUACCCAAACUUAACUUUCAUUUCUUCUUUCGUCAUCCUUUUUUAACCCUUGGUAAUCACAUUAAGCCCGUUAUCUAUUUCACACACACAUGGUAGAAAGUCUGUUAGUGAUUAUGACCCGAUUCUUUUUUCAUAUUACUUAUUGCCUUUUUAGCAUAGGAUAGUUUUAUAUCUUAGAGGUAUUUCGCAGUUGGGCUAAAUGACCGGGUGAGGGUCACCUGACUUAGAAUGCGUAUUCCCUUUUCAGAUUUAUACUACCUUUAUUAUUAUAUAUUUUUUCGGAGUCAUUCACUUAUAUUCAUCGACUAUACUACUUAGAUAGUGAUCGUAGAUGGUGCCGACUACCUAUGGGUUUACUCAAGGAUUAGUAAAGUGUUAAGAAAUUUAAGCUGGGUUCUGGCAAAUAUCCAAAUUGAUCUACAUAAUUAAGAAAUUUAUGGUGUUAAAAUGAUAUAGCUAGUAUAAAAAUAUAC